UCUUCGGUAGCUAAGUUGGUGAAAGCACUGGACUGGUGAAUCGGAGGUUGCGGGUUCAAAUCCCGCUCGAGGAG
This is a non-coding RNA of Harmonia axyridis, 74 nucleotides long. The record is from the annotation of a RefSeq genome assembly. Lineage: Eukaryota; Metazoa; Arthropoda; Insecta; Coleoptera; Coccinellidae.